GGCACCUCAGCCUAAGCACUGAGCAGUGCAGAGGCAAGGGGUGAGGUCCCAAAGCCUUAACUAUCCCACUUCAGCCGAGAUCCCAGGUAUUUCACAGAACCUGAAGCACAGCAGUAGCUCAGAUAACUCCAAACUAAGUCGUCAAUCAGGCUUUAUAAGUGCUUGCUGCAUCUUUAGCUGGAUACAUCCUCCUUCUGCAUCCUGCCUCCAACUGCAGUGUGUUUUGACUGCACAGUUAUUCUCCAUUAGAAUUUUAUGCACAUUUUUGCAUGGCUAAUGAAACUCUGAAAAACUUUUGCUACAAAAUUUAUGUUACUCAUUUCCUUGCGCAGUGUCGUUUUUAUGUGACAGGAAAACACAUUACUCAGUCUUUGAUGUCAAGGACAGUUAAACUCAAACCCAGAGAACCAAACCAAUCCCAGAAGCAUGAGAGUUAUAUGUAUUCAUCACUAGUGAUAUGCCUAUUUUUUUCUGAAGAUUUAUUAGUAGUAGCAGCUCCAUCUCUAUCUUCCACUUGAAUGAUAAUAGUACAAAAGUAAUUUGUUAUGCAUGAAUGAGAGAUCUGGAAAUCUCAAGACACUUCUCCAAAGGCUGAGAAACUUCUUCAAACACAACUAAUUUCUCUAGGAAUACAGAAUUUUGUAAGAAUGGAUCCAUUCCAUCACAUGUGGACUUUCUCUCAGGUUUUCUACAGCAGCCUGCAAUCGAACCUACAAGGAAGUGGGAACUGUAACGAAUUUGAAAAGCCAUAAGCUCCCUGCACUGAAAUGACAGUUUUGUCUGAGUGCCUCACUCGUUUCAGCUCACUCACCUGUGAAUUGCAGCACUGCAGACACUGGAAAAAGAAGCAUAAAUGUCUGUGCCAUAAACACGGUAUUUUACAUCUUGACAUCCAGGAGGGCAUUUUGCAAUGAAUUCUGGAUUGAUUAUCUUCCCCGCCUUGACAUCACAAUCAAUCUGGGGUACAUCUGUGAGUGCAAAAUCUUGGUAAAGUCAGACUGAAUGCUUCCAUGGCUGAGUGAUCUUGUCAUGAAACAGUGAGUAACUGAGUGACAGGGAUGCCCUCCUCCUAAGCCUUCAUAUCAAUCAUUUUGGGAUACAAGACAUCUGUGUCGUCUGCAUCUACAACAUAACACACAAUAACCCCCCCGCCAAGGGAUGUGGCAGUCACGAAGGAUGGAGUAAGGGAGCCUGUGGAUAUUUCUGACCUUCAGUGUUCGCUUCUCUGAAGGAAAUAUCUGUUAUGACACUUUGCUGGAGAGAGAAAGAAGUGUAAUCCCCCAGCCUGUGGUUAACACGUGGGAAGGAGGGGGUGGGGACGCUUCCCAAGCCUCCCGCUGUGCUCAUGCAGCUCUGUGCCAUCUAUAAUGUCAGGCUGAAGUCACAGCCCAUUAUCUUGCUCUUAAUUUUUAAAACUUUUUGCUGGGUACAAUUUGCUUUGAACAAGGGAUUUAAGUGUGUGUUUACAACCUCGCAGCAGGCUUGUUUGUCAGCUACAUGAGCAAAAUAAUGUGUGGACAGGAAUGCUCCUGCAGCAGAAUAGCUGAAAGUUAAACAUCUCAGUGCACAGAGAUGCACCACUUGUCUCACACUAAUCAGCUACAUAUGCUUUGUGUUACAGCUGGUCCAUUUCAUGUAUUUCUCUCUCUCUCUCUCUUUCUGUGAAAACCAUACUGCUUGCAUUGAUCUUGUGUGCUACCUAAUGACCUAUGAAGAUACAUUUUAGUAGUGAAUUACAAUUUUUCCCUUUAUAAAUGUUAAGUGAUGCACACUUUCCUUAGUGAUUCGUUUUCAGUAAAAGAAUCUUUUAACUAACAUACAAUGCCAUUGACUCCAGACAGUUGUGAAGAGUUCCAGAAUAUAAUCUCACUUUGCACCUUUCUUAUGCUUUGGACAUGUCUGCUGUAAAACAGCCAGAAAUUCUACUGAGACCACUUACAUAGCUUAGCCUUUUUUGUCUUCUUUGUGGCUUCCUUGGCUGCGUAGGUACAUGUAAGAAACACACCUAGAACAAAUAAACAUAGUAUCAGGAAAAAAGGUGGACUAUCAACAUCAGUAACCACAAGCUCCUCUACAUGACAUUUCUCAGAUUUGAAUCAACAGGUUGAAAACCUGAAAUAAGAAUAUUCUCAGCCACAUCUAGGUUUCUACUUGGUGGUUAAGUUUGCAGUCAAGAUGGCAUCUACUGUGGGGAAGUUCUUUGAAGGGGAUUAAAGAUCAGUUCAGUUCACAUGUUCAUCCAUGGAACUCACUAUCUAAAAAUGCCUUGGAGUAAAUGUGGUCCAGAAAACCACACAAGUAUUUCCACAACCAGUGGGAGCUCUUUGUUACUAGCAAGAUAGAGAUGUUAAUGAAUAAUGUGCUCUGUGCAUAAAGCAACUGAGAAGUCUGGUACAAAAGAUUCUUCUUAAUAACCCUUUGGGAAGAUUAUCCUGUAAUUUUGUGUUGUGACAUUUCACUCACUGGUGGCAGCAGGUGUGGGAUACUGGGCAGCAUUACAGACCAUAUGAAGGUCUAGGAUGGGAUGUCCCAGCAAGGGUUUUGUUCAGUAAGUAGGAUUAUGAUUUGAAAAGUGUAAUAGUAAAAGAGACAUAUGCAGUUGCGUUAAAAGAUACAUCCCAAUAUAUGCAUGCAGCUUACCAUGUUGUAUUUACUUGCUGAGUGAUGACAUACAAAAUCACUUUAUUCUCUGUGCUUAUUUUAUAGGCACUGUAUUAUGGGUAACUGAUAACUUCAUUACAAUAUCUUGACUUUCCUAUUCACCUUUUCCUUCUCUGAGUUUUCAAAGGGAAUUGAAACUCUCUAUGAUGUAUCUGCUGAUCCUUUUAUCAUUUAUUAAGCUAAUCUUACUAGAAUAUGCAACAGAAGCAAUUUCUUUUUUUUAUGCUCUUCUCCCCCUAGACUGAUUGCAAAGGGUUUGUAGACUUAAUCACACCUAGAACUUGCCCCCUCAAAAAAGCAGUGUCAGAGUCUGAAGUGACAAUGCAUAGAUGCAGUAUUUGGGUCUUUUGUCACUGGUGUAACCAUGGCAAAAUUGUAGUUAGAUAAAAAAAAAGGAAUGCAUGAGUGGAAAAUAAAGUGCGAUAUCUCAACUACUUGGAAUGUUACAGCAUAGUCUAAUGUGGGAAAAGUAAUCUGGUAAUUUAUGUAGAAGAACUACAUAGAUUGCUGUGAAUUUGAACUAAGAACAACUGUCCUGACAGACUUGAGGAUAACAGCUAGAGGGAAUAUUGCCUGGGAAUGUCACAACCAGAGUGUUCAUGUAAGAUGAAUUGCAAGUUCUGAAGUUUCUACAUGUUCCCAAAAAGUGAGAUCCUGUCUGACUGCCAGGGGAAAGAAAAUAAGACAUAUUUAUAACCUUUUGGUACCACCUUGUUCAUAGAAAGAACAAGAACAGGGAGAAUUGAAACAGCUGAUUUUUCUUUAGAGGGAGUCUUUACAUUAUUGAUAUUUUUCAGGCCCUCCUGACAUGGGCUGCAUGUACCUGGUCAUAUACUUGGAGAUCUCUGCAAGUAAUUAAUAUUUUUUUCUAUGCCAAAGAAGUUUUGUAGCUCGUUUCUGAAAAGCUGUGCCAAGGCUUACACCUGACACUGAGAGCUUCAUCAGCCAUGCAGUCCAAAGGGAAGAGAAUUAGUCAGUAGCCACUGGGCAACCACGAUGGGAGAGUACAAACCCAUAAGGUACUAACUGCAGCACAUCAAGUGUACUUACCAAAGAAGGUUGCAAUGACUGUGGCCUUCAUGGUGAGUAAAGAGAAAUCUGGAUGUGUUGCUAAGGAGCACUGAAAAGGAAAAGAAGAUUACAUCAGGCUGCAUUUGGAGGUAUUGCAGAUGACACUGGAGCGGUGGGGGAAGAGGGACUAUGUGCUCUUCUUCAGCCUUCCACAGUCCUCACAUGCUGCAUCCUCUUAAUACGUUUUUUAGAACAACUGAUAUCCCCAGAGGAGGUGGUGUUUGGGCUAUUGCAUUCCCAUGGACUAAUUUUUUACUUCUCUCCAAAAUUUGUCUUUUGCUCCAGGAAAUCAAGAUUUCAUUCACAUACUUAUUUCAGAAGCCAGUGUCAGGAGAGGCCAUGAUGGGCAUGGAUAAGCUCUGACAUAUAUUCAAGUCUGUUCACUGCUCUUCUAAGAAAUAUUCACAGAAUCGUAUUUUUUGCACAUCAAAGCACACCAGAUUUCACCAAAAAGAAUAGAAGAUGUAGACCACGGAAGACUGACUUCCUGUCCCAAAUUACCACAUAUUUUGCCAUGCAGUUUAGUGGAAAGGCUUUCUCCAAAACAGGGUGCAAGCCUCAGUCACUGAAAAAUGAGCCCAAAGCAGACAGGCAGCCCAAGGCAACCCAGCCAUGUCCUGCUGCAGAGGAGACCAGAGAAGAUGGCAAGAGAGACGAGGGUGAGAUGGCUGCAGAAAGAGGGAAUGGGCUCUGCUCUCUGCUGGCAGGGCACCGGCAGAGGAUGUGGUGGCAGCCCUCAGACACCGCUAAAUGUAGAGCUGCCCCAGAACAGAUUUAGGCACAGAAUGUUUGCAGAGCCCAGAGUGAAUUCUUGGGUAGCUAACCCAUGCUGCCAGGACUGCCCAAAGCUGGCACCUCCCGGUGUUUGCGAGGGGCAGCUACACAAGCUGCAGUCACAGCCGGCCAGCACAGCUGCCCCACAGGUGCCUUUGGAGCCCACAGCAUUUCAGUAGAUCCUGACUUGUCUAUGGGCCGCAGUGCUGGAAGAAAAGUUCUCCGGUAAUGCAUGCUCCCGUUUUAUCUGGACAAGUCCCUUCACAUCCCUGUCUUUGCAUCAUCUUGCUUUCCACAGGGCAUUGUCACGGGUCAGCUCAAAGCAGUUUUACCCCUGCCCUGCACUGACAGCGGUGCCUGCAGCCCCUUUGGGCGGGGGGCUUGCAGAGUUCACAGGGGCAAUGCAGGCUCUGGCAAGACAGACAGUCAGAGUUUAAUUUACUAACAGAGAUAUAGUCUGAAAAGCCACAGAUUUUUCUGGGCAUUUCUGUGCCUUUCUGAGCCUCUUGUGUGGCAGCGGGAAGCUGUGCUGCCUGUGCAGCAUUUACCCAGGUUUUCCAAGAGGGGAAUGUGCAGCAAAUAAAAGAAUUGGGAUGCAAAAGAGUGGCAGCUGCUUUAGGACUGUUAGAGAGGCUCUUUUACAGACGAAUGAACCGUCAAUUUGUAGUAAGACAUUGUUUUCUAAACAUAGCGUGAAAACUGUUAUCUUGCCUGGCUGGUCAUUAGAAGAGAGAUAAUUAUAGUCUCUGUGCCACAGCCGGGCCCAGAACAGGGGCUGCAUUGUCCCAGGUCCCAGCUGAGCUCCAGCACAGGCUCCCCAGGCAGCGCUGGGACAAGGGGGCUCCUUGUGCCCCGGCAAGUUCAGAAGAGGAAUUGAAGUGCUCUAAGUAGGUGUUAAGCACCUAUUUCUCUCUCCGACUCUGGACUUAAAAAUCUACUCCACAAGAGAAAGAUGUGGAGGGCAGACCUGUGACUACUGUAGCUGCAUCCUCCCUGGCUUUUUGUUCGAUAAAUGCUAUGAUUAUUAUUUUUCUUCUAUUAAAAAAAAUAAAAUAA
Molecule: long non-coding RNA, 5562 nt
Organism: Prinia subflava (tawny-flanked prinia)
Lineage: Eukaryota; Metazoa; Chordata; Aves; Passeriformes; Cisticolidae
Exons: 3
Source: RefSeq, a predicted model, not a curated record